Molecule: ribosomal RNA, 4644 nt
Filed under: Triticum aestivum (bread wheat)
Lineage: Eukaryota; Viridiplantae; Streptophyta; Magnoliopsida; Poales; Poaceae
Description: partial small subunit ribosomal RNA
Source: RNAcentral
AUGGCGGUGAAGGGGAAGGGCAAGCAGAUCGCCACCGACGACCCGGGCUCCUCCUCCGGCUCCAAGCGGCGCGGCGCCGGCGCCGGCCGCGGCGGCGCGGGCCCCUCGUCCUCCUCCGCCAAGCGCCGCCGCGGCCGCUCCGGCGUCCUCCAGUUCGUCGACGACGCCGCCGGCGUCGACGACGAGUACGAGGAGGACGAGGAGGAGGAAGAGGAGGAGGAGGAGGCGGAGGAGCUGCAGGACGACCUCGACGACGGUUUCUUUACUGCGGGGAGGACAAAAGGUGUAAGAGUUGAAAGGUCACACCCUCUUCCAUUUCUUGGAAAUGUAAAGGAAGAGGAGCUGAGCGGUGAUGAACUUGAGCAAUUUAUCAAUGACCGUUACUCUAAUCGUGUGAGAUAUGCCGGUUAUGGUGGCUCUACCGAACAAUAUGAUGAUGAUGAGUCUACCAUGGAUGGUGUAAAAGAUCCUAUCAUCUGGAGGGUCAAAUGCAUGGUUGGGCGGGAGCGCCAAAUGGCUUUCUGCUUCAUGCAGAAGUUUCUUCAUCUGCAAAAGUUCGGUACCAAAGUGCCAAUUAUCUCAGCAUUCUCACUUGAUCAUGUGAGAGGAUCUGUUUUUGUUGAAGCUGAGAAGGCUUGUGACGUUACUGAGGCAUGCAAAGGAUUUUGCGAUGUUUAUGUAAACCGAACUAGUACUGUCCCAGUAGCUGAAGUUCGUAGCUUGCUAUCAACUCGUGCAAAACCAUUUGAAGUUUCUCCAGGUACAUGGGUGCGCAUGAAAAGUGGAAACUAUAAAGGAGAUCUAGCACAGGUUGUCAGUGCGGAUGAUGGGCGGAAAAAAGUGUUGAUAAAGCUUAUACCAAGAGUUGAUCUCCAUGCUAUUUCAAAAAAAUUCGGUGGUGCUAUUCCCCUAAAAGGUGCGGCAGUUCCUGCGCCGCGACUAAUCAGCUCGCAGGAGCUAGAGUUCUUUGGACCUCAUAUCGAAAGUAAGCGUGAUCGUCAGACUGGUGAUGUUUUUGAAGUGCUUGAUGGUCUGAUGUUCAAAGAUGGUUUCCUGUAUAAGCGAGUUGCACUUAGUUCUUUGAUUUACUGGGGGAUACAACCAACGGAUACCGAGAUUCUCAAGUUCUCUUCUAGUCCAAGCAUUAAAAGUUCUGCCGAUGACAUGGAUUGGGUCUCCGGCAUCUAUGGUCAUAAUAAGAAAAGAAAUGUGCCCAGAGAACCGGAUAUGAAGAAAUCAGCAUCUUCUAAAGACAAAAGCUCCAAGGCAUCAAAUCUUAAAGGUUCCACUUCUACUGAAAACUGUGAUGAUGAUGAUGAUGAUGCUCAAUUCAACCUCCACGAUCUUGUAACCUUUGGCCGAAAAGAUUUUGGAGUGAUUAUUGCUGUUGAGAAAGAUGGUUUUAAGAUUUUAAAAGGUGGCCCUGAAGGAUCUGCUGUGACAGUUAGAAAGCAAGAUAUUAAGAAAGGAAUUGUAGACAAAAUGUUUACAGCUGUUGACCAUCAGAACAAGUCAAUAUCCAUGAAUGACACUGUUAAAGUUCUGGAAGGACCAGUUCAGGGCAAGCAAGGAGUUGUUAAACACUUGUAUAUGGGAAUACUUUUUAUAUAUGAUGAAAGCGAAAGUGAGAACAGUGGAUUUUUCUGUGCUCAGUGUGGGUCAUGUGAAAAUGUAAAGAAAAGGAGGGACGUGACAAAUUCGGACAACCCUAUGUUCUCGGAGUCAGCUUUCAUAUCAUCUGAGCAAAAUGAACAACGAAAUAAUGAAAGGCCUUACAGGGCACCCAGAGAACAACUCUUCCAAGUCGGAGAGGUGCUGCGUUUUCGAAGGGGUCCUUUGAAGGGUUAUCUCUGCCGUGUAGUUCGGAUAUUUAGAAAUGAUGUAACUGUUAAGCUAGAUUCUCUACUGAAGAUUGUUACAGUGCAAGCAGAGUUUCUCUCAGUCCCAACUAAAAGAGGGGAUAACUCGUCCAGUGCUCCAUCUGGUAAUUUUGGAACUCAGGAUACACCAUUCACCGAAGCUGCUAAAACCUCAUGGGACAAUGGAUUUGCAUCUCUUGGCAGUGAUUCUUGGCAACCUUUUUCAAGUUCUGCGUUACCAGCCCAGAAUGCAGAUGGAGAAACAGAAGCUGAUCCCUGGUCUAAGAAACCAACAUCUUCUGCUGAUGGUGAUUCUGAUCCAUGGGGUAACAAAACAACAUCUGCAGCUGUUGAUAUAUGGAACAACAGCACUGCACAAAAGGAAAGCUCCACCGACAAUGCCUGGGGUAAAGAAGCCGGAGGUGGUGGAUUUGAUGCUGGUGGCAGCUCUUGGGGUGGAGGAGCAGUCAACAAGGAUAGUGAAAAGAGUGGCAACUGGGGUGAGGCAUGCAAGCAGGUGGACACGGCAACUGGUGGUGAUACAGAUCCUUGGGGCAGUAAGGUCAAAGAAGUAGUUAUGAAAGAAGCAGAUAGCUGGGAGAAGUCAUCAUGGUCACCAGAGAAGAAGUUGGAGGGUGAUGAUCAAGGAUGGGGCCAACCUUUUGGCAAGUCAAACCAAGAUCAAGAAAAAGGCACAGUUCCGAAGGACGCAGACAAGGGUGGGUCUUGGGAUACCACUGUUGCUAUUUGUGUCGGUUCAGAUGAUAAUGAUGCCUGGGCUAAAUCUGCUACUUUGCCUGUUGCUCAAGAUGAUGCCUGGGGGAAGUCAAAAGAGUCAGGCCAAAACAGCGGCUCUGGAGGCUGGGAUACUGUUGCUGUGGGCCAAGGACAAGAUGAAGCAUGGGGCAAUCCAAAAGAUUCAGGUGCCAAGUCUGAAGAAACAAAUAAUGGAAGUGGGAACUGGAACAAAGCUGGCUCAUCAGACCAAGUUGGUGGCAGUGAUUGGGGUAAACCGAAAAUUUCUGGCGGUGCUGGUUCAUCAAGCUGGAACAAGGGAGAGGCAGCUGAGGGGGAUAAUCAGAAUAGCACCUGGAGCAGACCUGCUGGAAACUUUGAAGGUGGCCGUGGGUUCGGGCGAGGACGUGGGAGAGGCCGGGGCCGGGAAUCUUGGGAUUCUGGUGACAGAAAUGACCAAGAAAGCUGGAAGGGCUCAUGGCGUAAUGACAGUUCUGCAAAGCCCUCUUGGGGGUCUGAUACACAGGUAGGUAAUGAAGGUGGAGAUUCUGGUGGAUACCGGGGGAGGGGAAGAGGGAGGGGCCAAUAUGGAGGACGAGGGGGAGGAAGAGACAAUGGUUGGAGAAAUGGAGAUCGAGGUAGUUCUGAGUUUGGAAAGGAAAGGAGCAGUAGUGAUACACCAAACUGGGGAAACAGUCAGCCUUGGAGUGCCAAUGAAGGCACCAAGCCAUGUGAUGAAAAUCAGACUCCCGCUUGGAAUUCCUCAGAGGAUAAAAAACUGUCUGGAGGCGAGCAAGGUGAUCCUUGGGCGAGCAAGGUGACUGCUAAAGGCCAAGAACAACAAACUGAUGCUUGGUCAAGCAAGGCUGCAGGUGCUGAGAACAAUGAUUGCUGGAAUACGAAGGCGAAAGAGUCUUCCUGUAACACUGGGGCAAAAUGGGAGGAUGCUGCAUCAGGUGAAAAACAACAAGAUGAUCCGUGGUCAAACAAGAUCAGUUCUACUACUAAAGGCAAAGAGCAAGAAACUGAUCCGUGGGCAAGCAAGGUGUCUUCUACUGCAGCAGAGGAAAAAGCUGACCCCUGGAGUACUAAAGGGGGCAAUGGGAAUGAUGGGGGUUGGAACAAUGCUGGCUCGUCUUCUUGGGGCAAACCAAGUUCCUCAAGUGGAGAUCAAGAACCUGCUUGGAACGAGCCAAAAUAUGGUGAUGAUAAUGCUGGAUAUGGUAGGGGUGGAUUUGGACGUGGGAAUCGUGGCAGAGGCAGGGGAAGGUUUGGGGACAGUGGAUCUUCAUGGAAUGGAGGAGGCAACACAAAUGAUGGAUCAGGUGGAGGAAGGUCUGAAGAUCAGUGGAACAGUAGGGAUUCCGAUGGUGGCAGAGGAAGGGGCAGAGGUCGCUUUGGUCGAGGUGAUCGCUAUCAAGGUAACAACUUUGGGUCAGGAGACGGGGAUGGUGGCAGUUGGGGCUCUGGCAGGGGAAACAGAGGCCGUGGUGGUGGUUACAGAAACAAUGGAAAUGACAACAAUGAGGGAAGGGCCUCCAGUCAAGACCGCGGUGGUGGCUGGUCUCACUCUUCUGCUUGGAAUGCUGAUAAAAAGGGAAGCGCUGAAGACGAUCAAUCUUUCUCAAAGGGCAAGUCCAGCUGGGGGAGUGACAACAACGGUAGCUGGGGAGCUCCAAAACCAUCUGGUGGUGAUGAUCAGGCAGGAAAGAAGGAUGGAAACAACACCUGGAGUCAAAACAAGCCAUUUUCUGGCGAUGGAUCCUCUAUCCUGGGCCAGUGGGCUCCUGCUGGCGGCGCCACCGCUGGUACUGCAGGAUCUGCAGGCGGAGGAGGAUCAUGGGGAAAGAGCAAUGAAGAUAGCUGGAAUUCUUCAAAAGGAACUGGAGGCUCAGAAGGUGGUUUGAAGAAGGAAGGAUCCUGGGACAAGGCUGAAGGGAGCGGGAGCCAAGGCGGAGGUGGCGGCAGUUCUUGGGACAAGGUGGCCAGUGGCGGAUGGGACAGCAACAAGGGCGGGGAUGCCGGCAAUGGUGGUGGCAGUGGGUGGUAA